Long non-coding RNA from Cylas formicarius (sweet potato weevil), 1869 nucleotides. RefSeq lists it as uncharacterized. The record is from RefSeq and is a predicted model, not a curated record. The transcript is spliced from 5 exons. NCBI's taxonomy places the organism in Eukaryota, Metazoa, Arthropoda, Insecta, Coleoptera, Brentidae.
GGCUAACCGGACCGAAGUCAAGGUUACCCUUCGUAUAACACGUAAUGACGGACAAGACGACAGGUUCCUAAUAUCACGGGCUUUUGCCCACCAGAUCCCGACUAAGGAAGAGCUUUACAAGGUUUUUCGCUGGUCGCUUUUCAACAAGGCCAGUCGCCGAGAUAAUUAGUGGUAAUAUUUUGAUUGUAUGAACGUAUGCUUUCUGUCUGUUGUUUUCUGGUGGUACAGCAAAAUCUAUGAUAAAGGCCAAUUUUUCAUUUUUGUUGAUAAAGAGAAUGUCCGGUUUGUUAUGCUGUAUUUGUCUAUCAGUUACGAUCAUUGUAUAAACUUUAGCGGAACUAUUCUCUAUCACUGGGAUGGGGCUGUACUUGUAAUACGGCAAAAUUCAAUUAUUCAAGUUUCUGGUUGCACACUCUGCACAAAUCGCUUGAGAUGUUCUGCAUCAUGACAGGUACGACCUGGUCCCGCACCGCGGAUAUGGCUCCCUCAGUUUUCCGAUUCAGUCGACCCGGGCGUAAAGGGAGCAAUAGCUACAUCGUUGGCCAAAUUGAGGGGAGUGAAGAUUUUGUAUGACCGCAUUAUUGCAUCAUGCAUAGGUAAGUUGGAGCUCUUGAAAUAUUUUACCAGUUGUUUUUUUUUUUUAGGUGACGCGCUCGCAGACUCAAAAGACCUCGCCCACCAUUCUGCCUAGUGAUAUAUAGUCGCGCGGUAGAGGAAUUUGGAUGAUGGCUUCUAUAUGAGGUAAGUGUUGUGCGUACUAACCUAUCAAUUCCUUGCAGGUCAGUAUCGGUCCAUUUUAGAACCCCAAAUGUGAACUCCACCACUGGCAUCGCCCAGGAAUUAAUAGCGGAGAAAGAAUUUUUUGCAUUGAGUUCUGUUUUUAGUAAUAGUCGAAGUCUCCUUCUGAACUCGGUUUUUAUAUUUUGCUUCAUGAGUUUUGAUAGGUAGAUAGAUAAGAUACUUCUAAUUCUCGCUGGUAGGUGGUUUAUUUCUGCCCCAUCCAUGAGCUUCAUUGUUUCUCCCGCAACUAGGCAUCCUCUCUUUUGUCCAGUCCAAACUCCAUUCCUAUAGUCCUGCUAGAGCCGGCCUCAAUUUCCAUUUGGUUGUGAAGUUGCAUGUACAAUGUAAGAGAUGGUUUUUGCCCACUAAGUGGGUUCAGGGCUAGACAAAACCAGAGUGGACUCAUACUAUCGCCCUGGAAAAAUCCCCUUUUUAUUUGUAGCUACUGGGUUAGAUAUUCUUGCUGUUGAUUGCGAACUCUUAAUCUUGUUUUUCAUUUCCCCAUCAAGUGUUGGAGUAGUUUGGGUGCAGCGGGACCAUUCUUAUAAAUGGCAAGAACACUUGUCAGCCAGCUAUUUGGGACCGAGUCGAACGCUUUUUUGUAAUCUACCCAGGCGACCGAUAGGUUUCUCUGCUUGCUUCUGGCUUGGUUUGUAAUUACUGCGUCAGUGAUAAGCAGUUCUUUUGUGCCUUGUGUUCUUUUUUUACAACCAAGCUGUCCUGUGGCUAGGAUUUUAUUCUCAGUUACAUGCCUUUCAAUGUUCUGGGCGAUUAUUGACGUUAGAACUGGGUCCUGUGUUUUCAUCACUGAGAAUCAGCUUUCAUACCAUCUUUUAGGUGCUUGUCGGGGAGGUCUGUCUGCUUUCUUUUCCUUUGCAGUGACUUCAUAGCCGGUCCCAAGCCCGGAUAAAAGAGGAGGGUUCCAAGUGAGGUUAGCGACCUGCUUGGAUAAAAAAAACAAGUGCUCCUAAAUACAAUGGUUUAACCUCCAUAUUUCUUCGUUUGGUUUAAUUUUUGUUUAAGUUUCGACUUGAAGCAUUUCAUUUCCUUUUUAUUCUUAAACUGUCUUGUGUCAUAUUUUAACUUUUA